Molecule: long non-coding RNA, 449 nt
Organism: Oreochromis niloticus (Nile tilapia)
Lineage: Eukaryota; Metazoa; Chordata; Actinopteri; Cichliformes; Cichlidae
Exons: 2
Source: RefSeq, a predicted model, not a curated record
UUCUCGGCUUGAUGCGUACUUCGAAUUGGAACAGUACUUGGUCUCCGACUGAUGACGUAUCACGAGUACACGAGAACGCAAGUACGCACAAGUACGCAUAUUGAUAAACGCCCUCUAUUUCUAUCAUGUACCUCAGAGCUUCAAACCUCCCUGCACCUGUUAAACAGCGUUUGAUUGUUCCAGGAGGCGCUACAGGUGCAAUUGACAUAAACCCAGGGGCCCGUUCUUCGUACCUCGCUAAGAGCUGGAGUGGGCAAGCUAUUUAUUUGGAGGUCUUUCUUUCUUUCUUUCUUUUACCGUUUUUAUCAGGUAUGUCGGAUUUCAUGUUGUUGUUUUUGUUUUAUCAAAUAUGUUACGUGUAAAUGCACAUUUUAUGUUUAAUGUAAUAAUAAAUGCCAGCCCCUUUUCUACAAUUCCCCUGUGGGAGAGGAGCUGGAGUGGGCAAGCUA